RNAcentral lists this ribosomal RNA (535 nucleotides) under Kyklioacalles roboris. RNAcentral describes it as "partial 16S ribosomal RNA". The stretch from base 384 to 535 matches the Rfam family "Bacterial large subunit ribosomal RNA", at positions 2473 to 2625 of the family's 2925-position model. The record is from RNAcentral. Lineage: Eukaryota; Metazoa; Arthropoda; Insecta; Coleoptera; Curculionidae.
GUCCUUUUGAUUAUAAUUUAAGGUCUAGCCUGCCCAAUGAUGAAAAUUUAAUGGCCGCAGUAUACUGACUGUGCAAAGGUAGCAUAAUCAUUAGUUUUUUAAUUGAAAGCUUGUAUGAAAGGUUUGAUGAAAAAAGAAUUGUCUCUAAAUAAAAUUUUUGAAUUUUAUUUUUAAGUUAAAAAGCUUAAAUUAGUAUUGAAGACGAGAAGACCCUAUAGAGUUUUAUUUAUGCAAUAAUAAAUUAAGUUUUAGGAUUUUAAAUUUGUAUUAUUAAGUAAAUUUAGUUGGGGUGAUUGAAAAAUUUAUUAAACUUUUUUUUUAUUUAAACAUUUAUUUAUGAAUUUUUGAUCCUUUAUAAGAUUAUAAGAUAAAAUUACCUUAGGGAUAACAGCGUAAUUUUUUUUAGAGUUCUUAUCGAAAAAAAAGAUUGCGACCUCGAUGUUGGAUUAAAAUUAAAUUUUUGGUGUAGAAGCUAAAAAAUUAGGUCUGUUCGACCUUUAAAUUUUUACAUGAUCUGAGUUUAAACCGGUGUAAG